AACUUUCUACAACGGAUCACUUGGCUCUCGCAUCGAUGAAGAACGCAGCGAAAUGCGAUAAGUAAUGUGAAUUGCAGAUUUUCAGUGAAUCAUCGAAUCUUUGAACGCACCUUGCGCCCCUUGGUAUUCCGAGGGGCAUGCCUGUUUGAGUGUCAUUGAAAUAUCAACCUUGGGUGGAUUUGCUUCCUCUCCGAUGGUUGGACUUUGGAGAGUGCUGGCGUCAGGUCGGCUCCUCUUAAAUGCAUCAGCGGAAAACUUUUGACCUCUGGACGUCAGCGUGAUAAUCACGUUGCGCUGUCGACCGAGGUGUCAUCAUAAGGACCCGCUUCUAAUGGUCUUCGGACAGGACAUCAAAUUUGACCUCAAAUCAGGUAGGACUACCCGCUGAACUUAAGCAUAUCAAUAAGCGGAGGCU
Molecule: unclassified non-coding RNA, 415 nt
Filed under: uncultured Piloderma
Lineage: Eukaryota; Fungi; Basidiomycota; Agaricomycetes; Atheliales; Atheliaceae
Description: sequence contains ITS2
Rfam family: 5.8S ribosomal RNA (bases 1-155)
Source: RNAcentral